Molecule: small nucleolar RNA, 66 nt
Organism: Dermochelys coriacea (leatherback sea turtle)
Lineage: Eukaryota; Metazoa; Chordata; Testudines; Dermochelyidae
Product: small nucleolar RNA SNORD34
Exons: 1
Source: RefSeq, a predicted model, not a curated record
UGUGUCCAUGAUGUUCUACCUACAUUGUUUGAUACUGGGUGAGAAAAAUUUUGAUCCUGAGACACA